This 1416-nucleotide long non-coding RNA is filed under the name Felis catus (domestic cat). RNAcentral describes it as "lncRNA (ENSFCAG00000049171.1)". Lineage: Eukaryota; Metazoa; Chordata; Mammalia; Carnivora; Felidae. The record is from RNAcentral.
GGCCUCAGUUUCCCCCGCUGGUAAGAGAGGGAGUUUUGGUGCUCCUGCCUUGCCCCUCCCACUCGCCCUCCCCCUUCCUCCUCCCCCUCCUCCCCUCCCCCCUCCUCCUCCCCCGCCUCCUCCCCCUCCCGCCCCCUCCUCCCCCUCCCUCCCCCUCCUCCCCUCCUCCCCCUCCUCCUCCCCCUCCUCCUCCCCCUCCUCCCCUUCCUCCUCCCCUCCUCCCCCUUCCUCCUCCCCUUCCUCCUCCUCCUCCUCCUCCUCCCCCUCCUCCUCUUCCUCUCUUCCUCCCCUCCUCCUCUUCCUCUCUUCCUCCCCUCCUCCUCUUCCUCUCUUCCUCCUCCCCCUCCCCCCCCUCCUCUCCCCCUCCCCCUCCUCCCCCUUCUCUCCUCCCUCGCCCUCCUCCUCUCCCUCCUCCCCCUCCUCCCCCUCCCUCCCCCUCCUCCUCUCCCUCCUCCCCUUCCUCUCCUCCCCUCCCUCCUCCCCCUCCCUCCUCCCCUUCCUCUCCUCCCUCCUCCUCUUCCUCUCUUCCUCCCCUCCUCCUCUCCCUCCUUCCCCUCCUCCCCCUCCCCCUCCCCCCCCUCCCCCUUCCUCCUCCCCUCCUCCUCCUCCCCUCCCUCCUCCCCCUCCCCCUCCUCCUCCUCUUCCUCUCUUCCUUCCUCUUCCUCUCUUCCUCCCCUCCUCCUCCCCCUCCUCCCCCUCCUCCUCCCCUUCCUCCUCCCCCUUCUCUCCUCCCCUCCUCCCCCUCCUCCUCCCUCCUCCCCCUCCCCUCCCCCCUCCUCCUCUUCCUCUCUUCCUCCCCUCCUCCCCUUCCUCUCCUCCCCCUCCUCCCCCUUCCUCCUCCUCCCCCCCCUCCUCCUCCCUCCCCCUCCUCCCCCCUCCUCCUCUCCCUCCCCCUCCCUCCUUCCCCUUCCUCUUCCUCCUCCCCCUCCCCUUCCUCCUCCCCCCCCUCCUCCCCUUCCUCUCCUCCCUCCCCCUCCUCCUCUCCCUCCCCCCCCUCCUCCCCCUCCCUUUCCCCUCCCCCUCCCUCCUCCCCCUUCCUCUCCCUCCUCCCCUCCUCCCCCUCCUCCCCCUCCCUUUCCCCUCCCCCUCCCCCUUCCUCUCCCUCCCCUCCGCUGCUAACAGCUGUAACUGCUGCUUAUCCCGCCUCCCUAACGAGCACCCAGGCCCCUCAGAACAGUCCCGGCGGCUUCCCUCCAUAAUUGCCUCCGUAAUAAAUCCCCCGCACUUUGGCGGGUAGGAACCGCUGGGCUUCCCUCUCUUUCUCCCCCUCGCUUUCAAACACGCAAACGCAACACAGCAUUUCUAUUAUUACUGAGCUCCCUGUGCAUCAGCGGUAAGAAGACAGGUCCUUCUCAAGCACCCUCCCCUGGGACUCAGCCGCGAAGCAGAACUUCCUCCAGUCCCUGCGUCCCCUCA